Molecule: RNA transcript, 1659 nt
Organism: Cucumis melo (muskmelon)
Lineage: Eukaryota; Viridiplantae; Streptophyta; Magnoliopsida; Cucurbitales; Cucurbitaceae
Exons: 7
Source: RefSeq, a predicted model, not a curated record
CAUUUUGUCUUUCUACUCUCACAGAAAGAGAGAGAAAGGAAGAAGCAGAGAGACAUAAAGGGAGAGAGAAAGAGAAGACAGAGAGAGUUCUUGAGAGAGAGAGAGAGAGAGAAGGACCGUUAAUUUCCGUUAAUAUAUGAAGCAAUUUUGAGAGCUACAAGAAGCUAAAAUGGUUACAGACCAAGAGCUUUCUCAAGCUAUACAAUGUCUUCUUCGCGACUCUGCUUCUCCUACAAACCCUAACCCUUUUUCUUCUUUAAACGCUGUUGUUCAGGAGUUGCAGACCAAGCUUGGUCUUGACCUCUCUCAUAAACUCGAUUUCAUCCAUGCCCAGAUCCAAUUUAUCCUUCGUUCUCAUCCUCAACAACCCCAUCAUCACCAACAUCACCACCACCACCACCAUCAGCAGCAGCAGCAGCAACAACAACUACCCUCUUCGCAGAAAGACCUCUUUGCCCUUCAUCAAAGCCCUAAUUUUCAAUCUGCGCCUUCCCCCACUUCCUCUGCAUUUCACACUUUCACUGCUCAGCCUCCGACGGCUAAGGCGGAUUCCGUCGUUGCUCCCACUGUUCCGGGCUCUGACCCGCCAAAGGAAAGUACCCAAACCAAAACUAAGAGAAGAGGAGGCCCCGGGGGUCUAAACAAGCUUUGUGGUGUUUCUCCUGAACUUCAGGCUAUUGUUGGCCAACCAGAAUUACCGCGAACUGAGAUAGUGAAACAGCUAUGGGCAUACAUCAGAAAAAACAACCUACAGGAUCCAAGUAACAAGAGGAAAAUAAUAUGCAAUGAUGAGUUGCGGUUGGUAUUUGAAACAGACUGCACUGACAUGUUCAAAAUGAAUAAGUUGCUAGCCAAACACAUCAUUCCUCUUGAACCUACAAAACCAUCAAGUUCUAAGAAGGCACGAGUGGAGAAUGAAUCUGCAGUUAGUGUUAAAAGUGCAGAACCCAGUAUUUGUCCUUCUGUGAUUAUAUCUGAAGCACUAGCAAAUUUUUUUGGCGUCGAUGGUAGGGAGAUGCUCCAAUCAGAAGUUCUGAGACGCAUCUGGGAAUACAUAAAAGUGAAUCAUCUUGAGGACCCUCUGAACCCGAUGGCAGUGUUGUGCGACGCAAAACUUCGAGAACUGUUUGGUUGUGAAAGCAUUUCUGCACUGGGAAUCCCAGAAGUUUUAGGCCGCCACCAUAUAUUUAGGAGAUCAUGAUAGCUAUUCUUCUAGGAUGUGUUGGAGGCUGCUGAUACCUGUUAUCACUUGUCCUAGUUGGAAAUUUAUGAUGCAGCAUGCAGGACAGCUUUGCAGAUCGAAUGGUGUUAGCGACUUACAUAUCGGGACAGUGUUUGGAAAAGUCUAUAUGGUUUUUUCUCCCCCUUCUCUUAAUGUUGUAAUCAGUGAUGAUAAUAUUUUACUUUUGGAUCUUAUGCUAAGGUAAGGUGUGAACUUGGGGAUGUAAGAAUGGGGGCUUAUGGCAGAGUUUAUUUUGUAAUUGUCUGCCAAGUCCUUGGGUUUUCAUUUGUCUGACUUGGUGUUUAGGUUUAGAGUAACCCCUGGGAGUUUCUAACAUCCAUCAUACACUACAGAUGAUGAUGGGUAAAGUAAAAUCAUGUUAUCUACUCACUAGUUUGUUAUAUAUAUAUAUUUAUGAUGUUUUUAUUUAGUAAAAA